UACGGAGGGGGCAAGCGUUACUCGGAAUUAUUGGGCGUAAAGGGCGCGUAGGCGGUCGUGCGCGUCGGAGGUGAAAUCCCCGGGCUUAACCCGGGAGCUGCCUCCGAUACGGCAUGGCUUGAGUCCGGGAGAGGGGAGCAGAAUUCCCAGUGUAGCGGUGAAAUGCGUAGAUAUUGGGAGGAACACCAGUGGCGAAGGCGGCUCACUGGACCGGUACUGACGCUGAUGCGCGAAAGCGUGGGGAGCAAACGGG
This 253-nucleotide ribosomal RNA is filed under the name uncultured bacterium. RNAcentral describes it as "partial 16S ribosomal RNA". It matches the Rfam family "Bacterial small subunit ribosomal RNA", at positions 524 to 776 of the family's 1533-position model. The record is from RNAcentral.